CCUACGGGAGGCAGCAGUGAGGAAUAUUGGUCAAUGGACGCAAGUCUGAACCAGCCAUGCCGCGUGCAGGAAGACGGCUCUAUGAGUUGUAAACUGCUUUUAUACGAGGAUAAACGCCCUUACGCGUAGCUCUUUGAAAGUAUCGUACGAAUAAGGAUCGGCUAAUUCCGUGCCAGCAGCCGCGGUAAUACGGAGGAUUCAAGCGUUAUCCGGAUUUAUUGGGUUUAAAGGGUGCGUAGGCCGUCGGAUAAGUGUGAGGUGAAAUCUCGAGGCUCAACUUCGGAAUUGCCUCGGAAACUGGCGGGCUAGAGAGUAGUGACGGCAGGCGGAAUGUGUGGUGUAGCGGUGAAAUGCUUAGAGAUCACACAGAACCCCGAUUGCGAAGGCAGCUUGC
This 394-nucleotide ribosomal RNA is filed under the name uncultured bacterium. RNAcentral's name for it is "partial 16S ribosomal RNA". It matches the Rfam family "Bacterial small subunit ribosomal RNA", at positions 338 to 729 of the family's 1533-position model. The record is from RNAcentral.